This is a small nuclear RNA of Arvicanthis niloticus (Nile rat), 105 nucleotides long. The record is from RefSeq and is a predicted model, not a curated record. NCBI's taxonomy places the organism in Eukaryota, Metazoa, Chordata, Mammalia, Rodentia, Muridae.
GUGCUCACUUCGGCUGCACAAAUACUAAACUGGAAUGAUGCAGAGAUGUUUAGCGUGGCCCUGUGCAAGGAUGACAGUCAGAUUUGUGAAGUGUUCCUUGUUUUU